CUCCAUCGGCGGGCACAGCGACGCAGAAGAGAGCAGCAGGCGCUGCGGGAGCUGGCGGAGGAAAACCUGGCCUUCACCAGCUACAUCAGGAUGCUGCAGUCGACGAAUAGGAGACUACGGGAGAGCAACGGCAGCCUGCGCUCAGCCCUGCUGCUGGGCGCCUCCGGGGGCCCCAGAGCGGUGAGC
Molecule: long non-coding RNA, 186 nt
Organism: Lagopus leucura (white-tailed ptarmigan)
Lineage: Eukaryota; Metazoa; Chordata; Aves; Galliformes; Phasianidae
Exons: 3
Source: RefSeq, a predicted model, not a curated record